This 1545-nucleotide long non-coding RNA is filed under the name Fukomys damarensis (Damara mole-rat). Its description in RNAcentral is "lncRNA (ENSFDAG00000029078.1)". Lineage: Eukaryota; Metazoa; Chordata; Mammalia; Rodentia; Bathyergidae. The record is from RNAcentral.
AUGGGUUUGAAGCUCAGGGUCUGGGGAGCUGAGGAGGGAGAUUCCAGGAAGAAAAAGACGCCAAAUUUCAGCUGUCCCAAGACUCUGGAACCUUCCGCCUCCACCCUCCUUUGCUUUCUGUCAAUCGAUCAAUACAGCCAUAGCAAAGAGAAAUUGUCUUUUAAAGUGGUGGGGAAGGAGGUCCAGGUGGAGCGUUCCUAUGAAUCAAAACAGUGCCCUCUCCGAAGGACGAGGAAACAAAGAAGGAGCUUUGAAGACCGGCCUCAGACCCUGCAGUGGGGAGAAGCGGCCAGUUCCGGGAGCUCGAUGUGCAGGUGGCCUCCAGCCCCAAGAGGACUCCCCGGGCUUGUGCUCUCUGGCGGUGCAGCACUUCCAGAGAGGUCUCACUUCAUUUCUACUGGCUCUCAGGCUGUGCUUCCCGCCGUGUGCCCCUUGCCCCUGGAUGGAGAAACAGCUCCACCUUUCCUCUCGCCAGCCACCAGCUUCGGCUCCUGCUGCACGACUGAAUCCCUAUGCCGUGCUCACCUAGGAUGGCUUCUGCGGUUGUUUGAAACCCUAGAGAGUUUUGUCUUUGCAGAUGGCCUCGAGCCGGUCCUCUCACCCUCUCACCGGUGCUAAAGAUCAUCUGUGUUCCGCCCCAAAGACACGGCCGUGUCAGAAGUAUCGCUGCAGCACCACGUUACACCACACAGGAGCUGAGCUGCUUCCUCUGGGCGUCUCCACCCUGUCGGGGAGUCUGGCCCCUCUUGAAGGAACUUUGCACCUGUCCAAGAGCCCUCACUUUGAGGGCAGCUUGCAAAGCUGAGGUUUACCCCAUCUGCCUCCCGCCCUGCCCAGGCCCUGGGAAAAUAGAAUCACAUGAAGAUAUUCAGGUUCCAGGGUUAGCAUUUGUCGCCACUUCGGAGGAAGGUCGGGCUGCUUGUGUGUGUCCCUGCCUCCUGGUCCCUGGCAUAGCCCUGCAGACCAUACCCAGAGCCCCGCUUUCCUUGCCCUGACCACAAGCCUCCCUCUGCAGAGAUGUUUUGUCCCAACACUCAGGGAUGCUGGACGCAUAACAGCUUCUGGUUAAAAAUGUAUCUGUCUGCUAUAAGCCUGUGAAUGGGUCUACUCAGUGUGAUCAAAGACUAUGGUGGACAUUUAAAUAAAUUAAAUCUACUACAGUAAAAGACAUUGCCAUUCACCCCCUCCAGGUGCUCACCCUUGCUCUGAACACGCUCAUCCUGUGAUCCUUGCCAUCUUCUGGAGUAGCUCUGGAUGUCCUCCCUUGGGGGUAUCUUUACUUGUGCAGUUGUGGCUGCUGCGGUGUCCAGAAUCCGUUCAAAACCCUUGCCUUCCGUGGUCAUUUUGAUUUCAGGAAGGUGCCAGAGAUCGCGGGGUUGCCAGAUCCAGUGAGUAAAGAGGACACAGGAGUGCUUCCAUGAGCCUGCCUUUCUGGGGGGCGGCAGCCAGCAGCAGCGGCUUCAUUGUGUUUUCGGUCACACCUUGCAGAGAUGCGAGCCGAAGAACACUUCCUGGACCGCUUUGAACAGUGGUGAGGAUGGUGGG